Long non-coding RNA from Dioscorea cayenensis subsp. rotundata (Guinea yam), 2087 nucleotides. RefSeq lists it as uncharacterized. The transcript is spliced from 6 exons. NCBI's taxonomy places the organism in Eukaryota, Viridiplantae, Streptophyta, Magnoliopsida, Dioscoreales, Dioscoreaceae. The record is from RefSeq and is a predicted model, not a curated record.
AGUGUCUCAUUCUCGUCGGUGCGAUGAGGUCGUCCUCGAAGGCCGGAAGGGCAAGCCCUUGCUCUCGGCAUCAAGUGAUUUCACUGUGGUCAACAAGGUGGUCAACAAAGGUAAAAGUGUGAGUGAGGCUCACAUGCAUGAUGAGCUGGAUCAAGGGGAAAAGACGAUAGUGGGAGACACAUGUCGAAAGGCAACGCGAUAGAGGAAGUUAAGCACUCAACUCCGCAGGUACAUUCUACCGGGAAGGAUCAGCAAUAAAGGGAGGAGAGAAACAGGAAAGAAAGAGUACAAGCUGUGAAUUGAUGGAACUUGGGCCUGGUUUAUCUCAAGCUUGAGAGAAGGGAUGUUUGGGUUUCUCUGGGAAUCUGAAGAGCUGUUCUUCUGGAUUUCUAGUUGGUUAUCUUCUUAAUGUUUGUAAUACUUCUCAGUCAUUGAGGUUUGAUUGUUCUCAUUUCUCUUUGAACUGUUAAAUCAUGGAUAUAUUACUGUGUGUAUGCUAAGCUAGUGAUGUGGAGGAGAUCAUCUUAUAUCUGAUUUAGAGUUGUUUGUUAUUGAAGUGUUGCUUCUUUAUUUGAAUUCAGAAUUUCCUUUAAAUGAAAUGAGCUGUGACAUGUGAUUCAAUUUCUGAUUGAAUGCUGCAUCUUGAAUGGUGAUUGUUAGCUCAGAUCUUUAAGUCAGAAUUAACAGCAUAACAGGAGUCUAGUUGUUUCCAGAGAUGAAGUUUUAUGCCAUUAAUUCUUGCUCUUGUCCUUGCAGGAUUCUGUCUCAGAUAUAUUGCUUGCGCUGGAAGCUAUUCUUUGUUUAAGAAAUGAGAGAGUUCUAAGAUUUACUGCUGAUACAACAAACAAAUUGAGAGGCAUGUAUUUGAGCUAAAACCAAGUAAGUUCAGAAGUGAAGUUGGCGUUAUCUGAGGAGGUGGAUGCAAUGGUUUCAAAAAGAUUUUGGAAUAUGUUUAUUCGGGCAUGAUCCAAGUGGAGGUUGAGUAUGUGGGGCCUGUGGAAAAAAUUGCCAAGUUUUGUGGCUUAAAGUCAUUAUUGUACAUGCUCCAGCGAGGAUUACCUAAAUGGGGACCUUAUACGCCAAUUUGUGACCUGACACAAGCGCCAAUUUGUGACCUGACACAAGCACUUGAAACGGUUGAAGUUGAACCAGCUUGCCACACAUUUACGGUCAUCAGCUUGGAAGUUAAGGCAACUGAAGGAGUGGCUUGGAAUUGCUCGAUCUGCCUACUUUCAAUGCCUCAUUUGUUGUACUGUCAUCCAGCUGUGAUUAUUUUAGGUCACUGUUUUCUUCUGGGAUGCGGGACAGUAAUGCAGAUGUUAUCAAGGUCCCCAUAGGAUGGAAUGCAUUGGUUAAACUAGUCAAGUGGAUGUAUUCAGCGAAGCUCCCAAGAAUAAAUAAUGGUUGUUCGUUGAACAAUAUGGAUGCAGAGCAGAUGUUAUUCCUGGUCUAUCAUCAUAAUAUUGAAGCAAGACAUGCAGAUUGAAAUAUUAAUGCAAUUAUUUCUGGUUGGCACAUAGGUUAAAGGAACAGACCAUCAAACAGCUGACGGGACUUGUAUAAGAGACUAUAAAUAUGUCACUGAUCUUGUCGAUGCCCAUGUCAAGGCGUUGGACAAACCAAUGCCUAACAAAGUUGGAAUCUACUACGUCGGUACCGGAAAAGGUUAAUCGGUAGAGGAGUUUGUGGAAGCAUGCAUUACCGAGGAGUUUGUGGAAGCAUGCAAGAAAGCGACCGGGAUCAAUGUGAAGGUCGAAUACCUGGACCGUCGGCCCUGGGACUAUGCGGAAGUCUACAGCAAUCCUUCCAAGAUCAACAAUGAUCUCAACUGGACAGCACAGUUCACUGACCUUGAAGAGAGCCUUCGCAUUGCAUGGAUAUGGCAGAAAGCUUAUCCCAAUGGCUACCGAUCAUAAUAUUUCACUGUCUUCAUUGUUACAUUUUUUUUUCAUAAUUGGCUGAGUCAGAAUGAAUGUAAUUAAUACUGGAGGUGUAGUCACAGGUGAUCAUUUGAUAUAUGUUUCAUUGAACAACAAUGGACAAUGAACAAGAGAUUUCUAAUUUAAUGAUUGAUUCCUUUAAUUUUA